UUCCGGUUGAUCCUGCCGGACCUGACUGCUAUCGGAUUGAUACUAAGCCAUGCGAGUCGUUGUAGUAAUACAAGGCAGACGGCUCAGUAACGCGUAGUCAACCUACCCUGUGGACGGGGAUAACCUCGGGAAACUGAGAAUAAUACCCGAUAGAACAUUAUGCCUGGAUUGGUUUAUGUUUCAAAUAAUUUAUUGCCGUAGGAUGGGACUGCGUCCUAUCAGUUUGUUGGUGAGGUAAUGGCCCACCAAGACUAUUACAGGUACGGGCUCUGAGAGGAGUAGCCCGGAGAUGGGUACUGAGACACGGACCCAGGCCCUAUGGGGCGCAGCAGGCGAGAAAACUUUGCAAUGUGCGAAAGCACGACAAGGUUAAUCCGAGUGGUUUCUGCUAAAGGAACCUUUUGUCAGUCCUAGAAACACUGAUGAAUAAGGGGUGGGCAAGUUCUGGUGUCAGCCGCCGCGGUAAAACCAGCACCUCAAGUGGUCAGGAUGAUUAUUGGGCCUAAAGCAUCCGUAGCCUGCUUUGUAAGUUUUCGGUUAAAUCCAUACGCUCAACGUAUGGGCUGCCGGGAAUACUGCAAAGCUAGGGAGUGGGAGAGGUAGACGGUACUCGGUAGGAAGGGGUAAAAUCCUUUGAUCUAUUGAUGACCACCUGUGGCGAAGGCGGUCUACCAGAACACGUCCGACGGUGAGGGAUGAAAGCUGGGGGAGCAAACCGGAUUAGAUACCCGGGUAGUCCCAGCUGUAAACUAUGCAAACUCAGUGAUGCAUUGGCUUGAUGCCAAUGCAGUGCCGCAGGGAAGCCGUUAAGUUUGCCGCCUGGGAAGUACGUACGCAAGUAUGAAACUUAAAGGAAUUGGCGGGGGAGCACCACAAGGGGUGAAGCCUGCGGUUCAAUUGGAGUCA
Molecule: ribosomal RNA, 906 nt
Filed under: uncultured archaeon
Lineage: Archaea
Description: bacterial SSU rRNA
Rfam family: Archaeal small subunit ribosomal RNA
Source: RNAcentral